UAGGGAAUCUUCCACAAUGGGCGCAAGCCUGAUGGAGCAACGCCGCGUGAGUGAGGAAGGCUUUCGGGUCGUAAAGCUCUGUUGCCAGGGAAGAAUAAGGGCCAGUUAACUGCUGGUUCGAUGACGGUACCUGAGAAGACAGCCCCGGCUAACUACGUGCCAGCAGCCGCGGUAAUACGUAGGGGGCAAGCGUUGUCCGGAAUUAUUGGGCGUUAAGCGCGCGCGGGCGGGCUGUUAAGUCUGGUGUCUAAGUGCGGGGCUCAACCCCGUGAUGCACUGGAAACUGGGAGACUUGAGGGCAGAAGAGGAGAGCGGAAUUCCACGUGUAGCGGUGAAAUGCGUAGAGAUGUGGAGGAACACCAGUGGCGAAGGCGGCUCUCUGGACUGUAACUGACGCUGAGGCGCGAAAGCGUGGGGAGCAAACA
This 425-nucleotide ribosomal RNA is filed under the name uncultured prokaryote. Its description in RNAcentral is "bacterial SSU rRNA". It matches the Rfam family "Bacterial small subunit ribosomal RNA", at positions 355 to 774 of the family's 1533-position model. The record is from RNAcentral.